RNAcentral lists this ribosomal RNA (491 nucleotides) under uncultured bacterium. RNAcentral's name for it is "bacterial SSU rRNA". It matches the Rfam family "Bacterial small subunit ribosomal RNA", at positions 8 to 526 of the family's 1533-position model. The record is from RNAcentral.
AGAGUUUGAUCCUGGCUCAGGAUAAACGCUGGCGGCGUGCAUUAGACAUGCAAGUCGAACGAACGAGCUUGCUCGUUAGUGGCGGACGGCUGAGUAACGCGUAGGUGACCUGCCCCGAAGUGGGGGAUAACUGCCCGAAAGGGUGGCUAAUACCGCAUGUGGCGACGCUUUCAUUGGCGUCAUCAAAGCCGCGAGGCGCUUCGGGAGGGGCCUGCGUCCGAUUAGCUCGUUGGUGGGGUAAUGGCUCACCAAGGCGACGAUCGGUAGGUGGUCUGAGAGGAUGAUCAGCCACACUGGGACUGAGACACGGCCCAGACUCCUACGGGAGGCAGCAGUGGGGAAUUUUCCGCAAUGGGCGCAAGCCUGACGGAGCAACGCCGCGUGAGGGAGGAAGGCCCUAGGGUUGUAAACCUCUUUUCUCAAGGAAGAAGAUCUGACGGUACUUGAGGAAUAAGCCUCGGCUAACUCCGUGCCAGCCGCCGCGGUAAUAC